AGAUGGCGACCGGCGCACGGGUGAGUAACACGUAUCCAACCUGCCGAUAACUCGGGGAUAGCCUUUCGAAGGAAAGAUUAAUACCCGAUGGCAUAAUUAGACCGCAUGGUCUUAUUAUUAAAGAAUUUCGGUUAUCGAUGGGGAUGCGUUCCAUUAGGCAGUUGGUGAGGUAACGGCUCACCAAACCUUCGAUGGAUAGGGGUUCUGAGAGGAAGGUCCCCCACAUUGGAACUGAGACACGGUCCAA
RNAcentral lists this ribosomal RNA (247 nucleotides) under uncultured bacterium. RNAcentral describes it as "partial 16S ribosomal RNA". It matches the Rfam family "Bacterial small subunit ribosomal RNA", at positions 86 to 334 of the family's 1533-position model. The record is from RNAcentral.